UACGUAGGGGGCUAGCGUUGUCCGGAUUUAUUGGGCGUAAAGAGCGUGUAGGCGGCCAGGUAGGUCUGGUGUGAAAACUCGAGGCUUAACCUCGAGAUGUCAUCGGAAACCAUCUGGCUAGAGUCCGGAAGAGGAGAGUGGAAUUCCUGGUAUAGCGGUGAAAUGCGCAGAUAUCAGGAAGAACACCAAUGGCGAAAGCAGCUCUCUGGGACGGUACUGACGCUGAGACGCGAAAGCGUGGGGAGCGAACAGG
Molecule: ribosomal RNA, 253 nt
Filed under: uncultured bacterium
Lineage: Bacteria
Description: partial 16S ribosomal RNA
Rfam family: Bacterial small subunit ribosomal RNA
Source: RNAcentral